UACAGAGGGGGCAAGCGUUGUUCGGAAUUACUGGGCGUAAAGAGCUUGUAGGCGGUUUGUCGCGUCUGCUGUGAAAAUCCGGGGCUCAACCCCGGACUUGCAGUGGGUACGGGCAGACUAGAGUGUGGUAGGGGAGACUGGAAUUCCUGGUGUAGCGGUGGAAUGCGCAGAUAUCAGGAGGAACACCGAUGGCGAAGGCAGGUCUCUGGGCCACUACUGACGCUGAGAAGCGAAAGCAUGGGGAGCGAACAGG
Molecule: ribosomal RNA, 253 nt
Filed under: uncultured bacterium
Lineage: Bacteria
Description: partial 16S ribosomal RNA
Rfam family: Bacterial small subunit ribosomal RNA
Source: RNAcentral